RNAcentral lists this ribosomal RNA (468 nucleotides) under uncultured bacterium. RNAcentral's name for it is "partial 16S ribosomal RNA". It matches the Rfam family "Bacterial small subunit ribosomal RNA", at positions 28 to 507 of the family's 1533-position model. The record is from RNAcentral.
GAUGAACGCUGGCGGCGUGCCUAACACAUGCAAGUCGAACGGAAAGGCCCUGAUUUUGUGGGGUGCUCGAGUGGCGAACGGGUGAGUAUCACGUGUGUAACCUGCCCUUGUCUUUGGGAUAACUUCAGGAAACUGGGGCUAAUAUAGGAUAGGAGCUCCUGCUGCAUGGUGGGCGUUGGAAAGUUUCGGCGGUUGGGGAUGGACUAGCGGCUUAUGAGCUUGUUGGUGGGGUAGUGGCAUACCAAGUCUUAGACUGAUAGCCGGCCUGAGAGCGUGACCGGGCACAAUGGGACUGAGGGAGGGAGCAGACGCGUACGGGAGGCAACGGUGGGAAGUAUGACACAGUGAGCGGAAGCCUGUUACGACGGCGCCGCGUGCGGGAAGCCGGCCUUCUGGUUGAGAACCGCUUUCGCCUGAGACGAAGCGUGAGUGACGGUAACGGAUAAAGAAGCACCGGCUAACUACGUG